GGUUGCGCGGCUAGACCGGUUUCUGCACGGCGAAGGUAUGGCAACGAAGAUACGUUGUUUUGUGGUUACAAUUGCUCACAACAGGGACCUUAUCAUCUAUAAUAUGAUUUUGAUGCUUGUUUUGUAAUUUUUCUUUUUUUGGGCGGAAGUUUUUUGCUGGGCACACGCAAGAACCCUUGCUUGGUAGAGGUAUAUAGCUUCGCUGUAAUUAUUGCUGACUUGUACACAGCACCAUGUGUAUCAUCUAAGCUUGGUAUCUUUAUUGUAAGGGAAGUUAUUGGUCCUGUUAUGUCACAGUAGCGAAGUGAUGGUAAAACUAAUGGCAUCUUCGGCUGGCUGUUUCUGAGCGCUUUAGACCGCUCUCGCGAGCGACUUUGCCUUUGGCUGGUUGAAAGAGGGUGCGCGCCUUGCGUUCGGCUGGUUUUUUUUCGGUUGGUCUUCUCCAUCUUCGAGAGCUCAGAGGCGCUCCCCGCCCUGUCGUCGGAGCAGUCGUCGAGAUGAGAGCGUUUCCAGCAACGUGAUCACAGCACAGCGUCGCCGUUCUUGGCGACGGUCCACCGUAGCCUAGGCAACCUAGGCCACAGCUUGCUGGCGUCUCAACGAACGGUCGUCCCACCGGCGCGUCUGCCGGUUUAGCUUUGGAUAGGCGAAACAUCGGACGUUAGCAGUAGUCAGGUGAUUUCGCAUCUGCCAUUUCCUCCUCCAUAGAGAAAGAACUUCAACAAGAGGGGACACUCGGCGAAAACUGGCAACAGAAAACACGUCACCAUACGACAUGCUAUAGUAUUUAUGCCGAACGUUAGCUGCCGCGAGCAUCGAAAAAAAAAAAGAAAGGGAAAUGAAGUUAGCAGACAUUGAUUUAUUUUUAAACUCUUUGCCGUGGAAACUAAAACGUUUUGCGUAUAAAUGAACUUAAACUUUUCGACUCAUUUUUCUUGCCUUACCUAGCGACAGGCCAAUCCAAUGACGCGCCAGAUGCAUGCGUCAUCCGCCAGACACUCCCCCCGAAGCCAUGCGAGGACGGCUGCGCGCGCGUUUGAGCGCUCGCGCGCGGCGACCCAUCUGUCUCAUUUUUUUUUAAUGUAACCUGCUUUAUUGGGCUCUCGGUGUAUUCUUGCGUUCCUUCUGCACUGGGACAAGACACCACUGCACUAUUGGACUACGGCAAGCUGAUGCCGUCCGGUGGAGCUUCAUACGUGAACUACUGCUUACCUGGGGUCACAACGUUGGAUGAACGCACAAAGAGCACGGCACGAGCUUUUAAAUACAGCAAAAUAAAUAUUUACUCAUUUCACAA
Dermacentor silvarum is the source of this 1297-nucleotide long non-coding RNA. RefSeq lists it as uncharacterized. The record is from RefSeq and is a predicted model, not a curated record. The transcript is spliced from 2 exons. NCBI's taxonomy places the organism in Eukaryota, Metazoa, Arthropoda, Arachnida, Ixodida, Ixodidae.